Molecule: ribosomal RNA, 237 nt
Filed under: uncultured eukaryote
Lineage: Eukaryota
Description: partial 18S ribosomal RNA
Rfam family: Eukaryotic small subunit ribosomal RNA
Source: RNAcentral
UGGUGGAGUGAUUUGUCUGGUUGAUUCCGAUAACGAACGAGACCUUAACCUGCUAAAUAGUUACGUUAACUCUUCUGAUUAUGCAGUGAAGCUGGAGAUGUGAUGCCGAUUUUUCGGGGUUGGGACAAGUGCCCUUCUUUGAGGUUGGCCGUCUCCGGUGGAUCUGUUGAUGAGUUGGCGGCUAUACUUCUUAGAGGGACUAUUUGUGUUAAAGCAAGUGGAAGUUUAAGUCAAUAA